AUUGAACGCUGGCGACAGGCCUAACACAUGCAAGUCGAACGGUAACAGGAAGCAGCUUGCUGCUUUGCUGACGAGUGGCGGACGGGUGAGUAAUGUCUGGGAAACUGCCUGAUGGAGGGGGAUAACUACUGGAAACGGUAGCUAAUACCGCAUAACGUCGCAAGACCAAAGAGGGGGACCUUCGGGCCUCUUGCCAUCGGAUGUGCCCAGAUGGGAUUAGCUAGUAGGUGGGGUAAAGGCUCACCUAGGCGACGAUCCCUAGCUGGUCUGAGAGGAUGACCAGCCACACUGGAACUGAGACACGGUCCAGACUCCUACGGGAGGCAGCAGUGGGGAAUAUUGCACAAUGGGCGCAAGCCUGAUGCAGCCAUGCCGCGUGUAUGAAGAAGGCCUUCGGGUUGUAAAGUACUUUCAGCGGGGAGGAAGGGAGUAAAGUUAAUACCUUUGCUCAUUGACGUUACCCGCAGAAGAAGCACCGGCUAACUCCGUG
This 490-nucleotide ribosomal RNA is filed under the name uncultured bacterium. RNAcentral's name for it is "partial 16S ribosomal RNA". It matches the Rfam family "Bacterial small subunit ribosomal RNA", at positions 30 to 507 of the family's 1533-position model. The record is from RNAcentral.